RNAcentral lists this transfer RNA (64 nucleotides) under Staphylinidae sp. BMNH 1274656. RNAcentral describes it as "tRNA-Asp". Lineage: Eukaryota; Metazoa; Arthropoda; Insecta; Coleoptera; Staphylinidae. The record is from RNAcentral.
AAAAAUUUAGUUAAAAUAUAACAUUAGUUUGUCAAACUAAAAUUAUUAAAUAUAAUAAUUUUUA